GUGAUACCGCGAAUGGCUCAAUAUAUCAGUUACGGUUCCUUAGAACUCACUCAGUUACUUGGAUAACUGUGGCAAUUCUAGAGCUAAUACAUGCAAUCAGAACUCCUACCAGAAAUGGGAAAGAGUGCUCUUAUUAGAUCAAAACCAAUCGACGGAGGUUCCGACCGAUGUCGUUUGAUUUGAUGACUCUGGAUAACUAAUGCCGAUCGCACGGUCCCGUACCGGCGACGCAUCUUUCAAAUGUCUGCCUUAUCAACUUUCGAUGGUAGUCUAUGCGGCUACCAUGGUUGUAACGGGUAACGGGGAAUCAGGGUUCGAUUCCGGAGAGGGAGCCUGAGAAACGGCUACCACAUCCAAGGAAGGCAGCAGGCGCGCAAAUUACCCACUCCGGCACGGGGAGGUAGUGACGAAAAAUAACGAUACGGGACUCGCAUGAGGCCUCGUAAUCGGAAUGAGUACACUUUAAAAAUUUGUACAAGUAACAAUUGGAGGGCAAGUCUGGUGCCAGCAGCCGCGGUAAUUCCAGCUCCAAUAGCAUAUGCUAAAAUUGUUGCGGUUAAAAAGCUCGUAGUUGCAUUUGUGCGCCGCACUGUCGGUGCACCGCAAUCCGCGGUGACACUGAUACGUUGCGGAGCAUAUCGUCGGUGGG
This 649-nucleotide ribosomal RNA is filed under the name Apoplania valdiviana. RNAcentral describes it as "bacterial SSU rRNA". It matches the Rfam family "Eukaryotic small subunit ribosomal RNA", at positions 81 to 711 of the family's 1831-position model. The record is from RNAcentral. Lineage: Eukaryota; Metazoa; Arthropoda; Insecta; Lepidoptera; Neopseustidae.